GGUGGGCUGUUGAUCGGCCUUUUGGCCCUCGAUUUUGGGUUGUUUGAGGAUGGUGCCGUCUGCUGUUUGAUAUUGUAUGGUUGCCCCCGGUUGUCCAUUAAUCGCAUUCGUUGUGAAUAUUAUAUUCUUGUUUCGCAAUUCGUUUCAAACAACAAAAAAAUGCACAAUGCGGAGUGGUUUUACAACACUGUUCGACGCCACACUCGUACGGCGCGUUUGAGCGAGACAACUAUAUAGCACACACGUCAGCGAAAAACGACUGAUUAAAAAUGGCGACGAUGAGACAAAAAAUAUCACAAAAAACCUUCUGCUCGUUUGUUCUUACGUACGUUCGAAUGUGGACUGCUGAAGAGAGACGGAGAGUGGAAGAAAGCCAGGGAGAGAGCAGUAGCGCAUUAACCGUGCUGUAGUGCUGCCAGACUAACCAAAAAAAGAGACGACAAGCGUUUCUCUUUCCAAACACAUCUGUACUUGCAUUGAAAGUGUAAAUUUUGUAAAUGAAAGAAAAAUAUGUAAUUUAAAAAUUAUUUCAUCUUCUUGUGAGAACAAAUUGAUCAU
This is a long non-coding RNA of Drosophila sulfurigaster albostrigata, 558 nucleotides long. RefSeq lists it as uncharacterized. The record is from RefSeq and is a predicted model, not a curated record. Lineage: Eukaryota; Metazoa; Arthropoda; Insecta; Diptera; Drosophilidae. The transcript has 3 exons.